CAACCCUCAGGCCUUAGUCGCCUGGUGUUGGGGCUUCUACAGCGAUGUAGGCCCCGAAAAUUAGUGGCGGUGCUCUCCAGCACUCCGGGCGCAGUAGUUUAUUCUCGCCUAGGACGUCUGGUAGGCUGCCGGCCGUUAAACCCCCUAUUUCUCAA
Molecule: unclassified non-coding RNA, 155 nt
Filed under: uncultured Sordariomycetes
Lineage: Eukaryota; Fungi; Ascomycota; Sordariomycetes
Description: sequence contains ITS2
Source: RNAcentral